Molecule: ribosomal RNA, 253 nt
Filed under: uncultured bacterium
Lineage: Bacteria
Description: partial 16S ribosomal RNA
Rfam family: Archaeal small subunit ribosomal RNA
Source: RNAcentral
UACCAGCACCCCGAGUGGUCGGGACGUUUAUUGGGCCUAAAGCAUCCGUAGCCGGUUCUACAAGUCUUCCGUUAAAUCCACCUGCUUAACAGAUGGGCUGCGGAAGAUACUAUAGAGCUAGGAGGCGGGAGAGGCAAGCGGUACUCGAUGGGUAGGGGUAAAAUCCGUUGAUCCAUUGAAGACCACCAGUGGCGAAGGCGGCUUGCCAGAACGCGCCAGACGGUGAGGGAUGAAAGCUGGGGGAGCAAACCGG